Molecule: ribosomal RNA, 200 nt
Filed under: uncultured eukaryote
Lineage: Eukaryota
Description: partial 18S ribosomal RNA
Source: RNAcentral
AGUCCUCCACCAGCAUAUGAUCAUAGAAAACAGUUAAUGCACCGAUCUGUGGCUCUAGUGCAGCAAAAGUAUCCUCAGCUUCAAGACCUUGUGGAGAGCGGUAAGAAACACCUCAGGGUUGCACUCCAUACUUACAACUUAAUUCAGAUAAAAUCUGAUUUCCUGCUACUAUAUCACCUAAUUUAUUCUAAGUUAAUGUC